UACAGAGGUCCCGAGCGUUGUUCGGAUUCACUGGGCGUAAAGAGUGUGUAGGCGGUUUUCUAAGUUUGGUGUGAAAUCUCCCGGCUUAACUGGGAGGGUGCGCCGAAAACUGGAAGGCUUGAGUGCCGGAGAGGAUAGCGGAAUUCCUGGUGUAGUGGUGAAAUGCGUAGAUAUCAGGAGGAACACCUGCGGUGUAGACGGCUAUCUGGACGGCCACUGACGCUGAGACACGAAAGCGUGGGUAGCAAACAGG
RNAcentral lists this ribosomal RNA (253 nucleotides) under uncultured prokaryote. RNAcentral describes it as "partial 16S ribosomal RNA". It matches the Rfam family "Bacterial small subunit ribosomal RNA", at positions 524 to 776 of the family's 1533-position model. The record is from RNAcentral.